UGAACGCUGGCGGCGUGCUUAACACAUGCAAGUCGUACGAGAAAUCUUCAGCUUGCUGAAGAGAGUAAAGUGGCGCACGGGUGAGUAACGCGUGGAUAAUCUAUCCUUGAAUCGGGGAUAACGUUGCGAAAGUGACGCUAAUACCGGAUGACAUCAUAAAGGCUUUGGCCUUAAUGAUCAAAGAUGACCUCUACCUGUAAGUUGUUGUUUGAGGAGGAGUCCGCGUACCAUUAGCUUGUUGGUAGGGUAACGGCCUACCAAGGCCACGAUGGUUAGCUGGUCUGAGAGGAUGAUCAGCCACACUGGAACUGACACACGGUCCAGACUCCUACGGGAGGCAGCAGUGAGGAAUUUUGCGCAAUGGGGGAAACCCUGACGCAGCAACGCCGCGUGAGUGAUGAAGGCUUUAGGGUCGUAAAGCUCUGUCAAGUGGGAAGAACCUAUCCGAAAAUAAUAAGUUCGGGUACUGACGGUACCACUGAAGGAAGCACCGGCUAACUCC
This 502-nucleotide ribosomal RNA is filed under the name uncultured bacterium. Its description in RNAcentral is "bacterial SSU rRNA". It matches the Rfam family "Bacterial small subunit ribosomal RNA", at positions 30 to 504 of the family's 1533-position model. The record is from RNAcentral.